CAUUUUUCCUAGAAUACACUCUAUUUUCAUAGAUACGACUAUAUAAAAUCAAUGCUUUCGGACCGACAGCAGUUGAACUUAAUAUUUUCAGGAGACUAGUUUUUGAUAUACCAAUUUCAAAAGUUUUUUAUUCCUGUCGUUUGUGAAUGCUUAACUUGACGUUGUUCAUUCAAUGAUAAUAAGAAUAAAGUUUCGAUAGUGACAAACACAUAACCACAAAAUAAAAUUCAUUCAAUUGGAACACAACACAUUCUAAACCAUAUAUUAUUUGUUUUUAGGAAAAUGGGCUACAAAGUAAACUUGUAUCAACAAAAAUUCCUCAAGCCACCACUCAUAUUCUACCAUUUAAACGAGAAAAAUUCAUUCAAUUGAAAUAUAUAUGUUAUAAAUACCAUCAUGGGUACAUGACAACGACCGUACAUGACAACGAGAACAAUAAAUUCAAUAUUGUGUUUCAUUGCAUUUACAAAUAUGCAUUUAGCGUACAAAAGUGAAAACAUCUUCUCUAGUUGUGUUUUAAAUCAAUUAAACUUUUACAGGGGUAGGAAUUUUUUUUAAACCUAGCAUAUAAAGAGAAGUGUUUUCAAAUCAUUCUUGUGCUGUAUUAAUAAUUGAAAAAUUCAAAUUCAAAACUGUUUAGCAUUUGUUUGGUAUAAUAAUCGUUGAAUGAUAAUAAUAAUAAUAUAAUAAUAACUGCACCGAACAGCGUUUCUUCGCCUUGGUGGUUUAUUCAAAUAUAAAUAAAUAUAACACAAUUUAUUCAAUUUUUAUCAAGCAAUUUUGAGAGAGAUUGUUAAUUUU
This is a long non-coding RNA of Contarinia nasturtii (swede midge), 801 nucleotides long. RefSeq lists it as uncharacterized. NCBI's taxonomy places the organism in Eukaryota, Metazoa, Arthropoda, Insecta, Diptera, Cecidomyiidae. The transcript is spliced from 4 exons. The record is from RefSeq and is a predicted model, not a curated record.